GGUUAAGUGACUAAGCGUACACGGUGGAUGCCUAGGCAGUCAGAGGCGAUGAAGGGCGUGCUAAUCUGCGAAAAGCGUCGGUAAGGUGAUAUGAACCGUUACAACCGGCGAUACCCGAAUGGGGAAACCCAGUGUGUUUCGACACACUAUCAUGUCAUGAAUACAUAGUGGCAUGAGGCGAACCGGGGGAACUGAAACAUCUAAGUACCCCGAGGAAAAGAAAUCAACCGAGAUUCCCCCAGUAGCGGCGAGCGAACGGGGAGGAGCCCAGAACCUGAAUCGGCUUGUGUGUUAGUGGAAGCGUCUGGAAAGUCGCGCAGCAAAGGGUGAUAGCCCCGUACACUAAAAUGCACAGGUCGUGAGUUCGAUGAGUAGGGCGGGACACGUGACAUCCUGUCUGAAUAUGGGGGGACCAUCCUCCAAGGCUAAAUACUCCUGACUGACCGAUAGUGAACCAGUACCGUGAGGGAAAGGCGAAAAGAACCCCGGCGAGGGGAGUGAAAUAGAACCUGAAACCGUGUACGUACAAGCAGUGGGAGCACCUUCGUGGUGUGACUGCGUACCUUUUGUAUAAUGGGUCAGCGACUUAUAUUUUGUAGCAAGGUUAACCGUAUAGGGGAGCCGUAGGGAAACCGAGUCUUAACUGGGCGAAUAGUUGCAAGGUAUAGACCCGAAACCCGGUGAUCUAGCCAUGGGCAGGUUGAAGGUUGGGUAACACUAACUGGAGGACCGAACCGACUAAUGUUGAAAAAUUAGCGGAUGACUUGUGGCUGGGGGUGAAAGGCCAAUCAAACCGGGAGAUAGCUGGUUCUCCCCGAAAGCUAUUUAGGUAGCGCCUCGUGAACUCAUCUUCGGGGGUAGAGCACUGUUUCGGCUAGGGGGCCAUCCCGGCUUACCAAACCGAUGCAAACUCCGAAUACCGAAGAAUGUUAUCACGGGAGACACACGGCGGGUGCUAACGUCCGUCGUGAAGAGGGAAACAACCCAGACCGCCAGCUAAGGUCCCAAAGUCAUGGUUAAGUGGGAAACGAUGUGGGAAGGCAUAGACAGCCAGGAUGUUGGCUUAGAAGCAGCCAUCAUUUAAAGAAAGCGUAAUAGCUCACUGGUCGAGUCGGCCUGCGCGGAAGAUGUAACGGGGCUAAACCAUGCACCGAAGCUGCGGCAGCGACGCUUAGGCGUUGUUGGGUAGGGGAGCGUUCUGUAAGCCGUUGAAGGUGGCCUGUGAGGGUUGCUGGAGGUAUCAGAAGUGCGAAUGCUGACAUAAGUAACGAUAAAGCGGGUGAAAAGCCCGCUCGCCGGAAGACCAAGGGUUCCUGUCCAACGUUAAUCGGGGCAGGGUGAGUCGACCCCUAAGGCGAGGCUGAAAAGCGUAGUCGAUGGGAAACAGGUUAAUAUUCCUGUACUUGGUGUUACUGCGAAGGGGGGACGGAGAAGGCUAGGCUAGCCGGGCGACGGUUGUCCCGGUUUAAGCGUGUAGGGGGUGUGACCUGGUAAAUCCGGUUACAUAUCAACCCUGAGGCGUGAUGACGAUGCACUACGGUGCAGAAGUAGUUGAUGCCCUGCUUCCAGGAAAAGCCUCUAAGCUCCAGGUAACAUUGAAUCGUACCCCAAACCGACACAGGUGGUCAGGUAGAGAAUACCAAGGCGCUUGAGAGAACUCGGGUGAAGGAACUAGGCAAAAUGGUGCCGUAACUUCGGGAGAAGGCACGCUGGCAUGUAGGUGAAGUCCCUUGCGGAUGGAGCUGAAGCCAGUCGAAGAUACCAGCUGGCUGCAACUGUUUAAUAAAAACACAGCACUGUGCAAACACGAAAGUGGACGUAUACGGUGUGACGCCUGCCCGGUGCUGGAAGGUUAAUUGAUGGGGUCAGCCGCAAGGCGAAGCUCUUGAUCGAAGCCCCAGUAAACGGCGGCCGUAACUAUAACGGUCCUAAGGUAGCGAAAUUCCUUGUCGGGUAAGUUCCGACCUGCACGAAUGGCGUAAUGAUGGCCAGGCUGUCUCCACCCGAGACUCAGUGAAAUUGAACUCGCUGUGAAGAUGCAGUGUACCCGCGGCAAGACGGAAAGACCCCGUGAACCUUUACUAUAGCUUGACACUGAACAUUGAGCCUUGAUGUGUAGGAUAGGUGGGAGGCUUUGAAGCGUGGACGCCAGUCUGCGUGGAGCCAUCCUUGAAAUACCACCCUUUAAUGUUUGAUGUUCUAACUCGGCCCCAUAAUCUGGGGUGAGGACAGUGUCUGGUGGGUAGUUUGACUGGGGCGGUCUCCUCCCAAAGAGUAACGGAGGAGCACGAAGGUUAGCUAAUCACGGUCGGACAUCGUGAGGUUAGUGCAAAGGCAUAAGCUAGCUUGACUGCGAGAGUGACGGCUCGAGCAGGUACGAAAGUAGGUCUUAGUGAUCCGGUGGUUCUGAAUGGAAGGGCCAUCGCUCAACGGAUAAAAGGUACUCCGGGGAUAACAGGCUGAUACCGCCCAAGAGUUCAUAUCGACGGCGGUGUUUGGCACCUCGAUGUCGGCUCAUCACAUCCUGGGGCUGAAGUAGGUCCCAAGGGUAUGGCUGUUCGCCAUUUAAAGUGGUACGCGAGCUGGGUUUAGAACGUCGUGAGACAGUUCGGUCCCUAUCUGCCGUGGGCGUUGGAAGAUUGAGAGGGGUUGCUCCUAGUACGAGAGGACCGGAGUGAACGCACCACUGGUGUUCGGGUUGUCAUGCCAAUGGCAUUGCCCGGUAGCUAAGUGCGGAAAAGAUAAGCGCUGAAAGCAUCUAAGCGCGAAACUUGCCUCAAGAUGAGUCUUCCCUGGGCCUUUAAGGCCCCUGAAGGAACGUUUAAGACUAAGACGUUGAUAGGCUGGGUGUGUAAGUGCAGCGAUGCAUUGAGCUAACCAGUACUAAUGAUCCGUGAGGCUUAACCUU
Molecule: ribosomal RNA, 2908 nt
Filed under: Serratia marcescens
Lineage: Bacteria; Pseudomonadati; Pseudomonadota; Gammaproteobacteria; Enterobacterales; Yersiniaceae
Also listed under: 1 other name
Description: 23S ribosomal RNA
Rfam family: Bacterial large subunit ribosomal RNA
Source: RNAcentral